This 958-nucleotide long non-coding RNA is filed under the name Nicotiana benthamiana. RNAcentral's name for it is "long non-coding RNA (NBEN_LNC034830)". Lineage: Eukaryota; Viridiplantae; Streptophyta; Magnoliopsida; Solanales; Solanaceae. The record is from RNAcentral.
UGAUAUUAGUGAAGUUUGAUUACCUAUGACCAACUCUAUUGAAUCACGUACUCAACAUCGAUUUAGGACAUUUAAAUCACACAUGAAGUUACAGCUAAUUUCUGGUUUCAGAUAAAGCGAAUUAACUAAGAUCAACUACUUAGCAUUAUGGUCUUCUAAUUUCAAAGAUUAAAACAGUCCUACUUUGGUUACAGUAAACAACCAAUAAUAGCACAAAAAAAUAUCUAACAUAACAAACUACUAACUACUGAUUCAGCUGCUUAUAAACAGUCAUAAAUUCAAUUCAUAAUCCACAAGUCAGGCUUAGUUUCAGAACAAUCCUAUUACAGUCCAAUGUGUGUACAAAUCAAAAUUAAAAUAAACAAGCAUCUAUAACAUCUAAUUAACUAUCAAUACAUCAUAGUCCAAACUGGCGUGAUUUCCAGGAGCAAAUGAGCGAACAUUUUAUAGCAUUUCCACUUCGAAAUUACAUCAAGUAAAAAUUGAGAACGUGUACCUGAGUAUUUGAAAUAUAAGAAGAACAGGAAGUUAGCGACAAUUCAACAGAAAAAAUCAAAUAUAGUCCAGAGGUUUAACUCGACAGCCCAGGAGAAAUUCAAAAUCAAAUAGAAAUAGAAACUCGAACAACACACUUGAAUACACUCAGAUUGGCUUGAACUUAGACCAAAAAUUCCAGAAAACUUCAACUGAACUGUUAACCCUCUUGAACCUCAAUAAUCUGACUCAAAGUUCAACUAACAGAUCUCUGAACUUUCAGCAAUCAAUUAGAGAACUAGGAGAGGUAGAUUAAUGACUAGAAUAUAAAAAUUAACCUACAAUUUCCAAUGAAACAGUGACCUUUUUUGACUUUUUGAAGUUUUUGUUGUUUGAAGCAUUAGAUCUAAGAUCUGAUUUUGAAAUUCAAACCUGAAAUUCAGAUUUGCAGAGAAUGGAUUUUGGGGGGAAUUUUUGGGGUCUG